GACGAAGGUGGCAACCGUUGCUCGGAUUCACUGGGCAUAAAGCGCGCGUAGGUGGCUUUGCAGGUCAUCGGUGAAAAACCCCGGCACAACCGGGGAACUGCCGAUGAAACCGCAUUGCUUGAGGUCGGGAGAGGAGAGUGGAACUCUUGGUGUAGCGGUGAAAUGCGUAGAUAUCAAGAGGAACGCCGGUGGCGAAAGCGGCUCUCUGGACCGAUCCUGACACUAAUGCGCGAAAGCUAGGGGAGCAAACAGG
RNAcentral lists this ribosomal RNA (253 nucleotides) under uncultured bacterium. RNAcentral's name for it is "partial 16S ribosomal RNA". It matches the Rfam family "Bacterial small subunit ribosomal RNA", at positions 524 to 776 of the family's 1533-position model. The record is from RNAcentral.